UGGGUUUGGGUUUUAAAAUUUUAACAGCAAGUCCAACUUACAAGCUGGAGGUGUGAAGUUCAAAAGAAGUUGUAGGAGGAAGAAAAUUAGGUUGUCAUGAAAGAUACGAUUGACAUACAGCAUGAAAGACGUAGAAAAUUGUGCUUCUGUGUGUCAAAAAUCAGACUUUUUUGACUAUAUACUGGCAGAAGUAUUCUCUUUAAUAUCACUUGUGUGUCGCUUGUCUUCAAAUAUGUGUACAUUACUGUAGAACUACAAUAAGGCAAGAAGCAGCUAACCCAAAAAAGACUGAGUCAAAGGGUUGUGGCUCAAGGCAGCCACUCCAACAAUGACUCCUUUUUUCCAUAUAUUCUUUCAUUGAAUUUUCCUCUUUCUUUGCUUUUUUUUGCACUCCGGCCUGAAAAUAGCUGCAGAUCAAUACAAAGAAGAGCUGGCAGCUGAAGAAGAGUAAAGCAACAGGAAACAGCCGAGUUUCCCCAAUUACUUUCGUUGCUAAGUAUGGAGUGCUUGGUGAUAAGCAAAACAGUAAGAUUUAUAACAACUGGGUUAUGCAAAUAAGGGUUUAACUCUAUAUGACAAUAGCAUAUAAGUUGCUUUUGCUCAUCUUUCAUAAACAAAAUUUGAAAGCUACUAUAUGAUGGAUUGGAUAGAUGGCAUGUGAUUAAAGAAAACAAAAGCUAUUAAAACUUUCCUCAGUAUCAGCUGGCUGCAACUCUCUGGACACCGCACUGCCUUCCCUGCAGAGAGAAACUUUUAAGGUCAGACUAAAGCUGUUGAACUACAUUUGCUAUGGAAAUACUCACCACAGUCAAUGUCCGCUCUCACAUUACCCCUCUGGUUGCUAUGGUUUCCAACCAUCCUCAUCCCUCUCUUGGAGUCUUUUACAAUGUCAGGAUAGGCUGUAGGUAGUGGCCUAUGCUGCACAUACAGGGACCUAUAUAGGAUAUCUAAGAGGACUACUCUGACUGUCUAUUUUGUUACGUCUCCAGCAGCUUUUAAGAACCAUGAAUUAUAACACAGGCCUGCCAGAUAAGAGAUUAGAGGAGAUGAUGGGGAAGUCUUAAUAAUCCCUUGAGCUCUAGAAUAAGUCGUUGAUUCUUGGGGAUACAGACAAGAAAAACAAGAAGGCCAAGCAAAAGGACCAGCUUCUUUGAAUUUGAAGUCACACAAGUAAUGAUCACAUGGUUAAAAGCUGCACAUGUUGACUGUGGCUGUUUCUGGCAAGGGCAGUGUGGCCCCUAACAACUCUGCAAGGAUUUGCAUAAUCAAAAGAUUUAGAUGCAUAAUAAGCUCAUAAUUACAAAUAUCUGUCUGGAACUGCUUGACCAAAUUGUAAUCUCAAUGGGGACUGCAUCUGUGAUUGCAUUUGUGUCAAAACUGUGUAAAAGAAAGACUGGCCUGCAUAGAAUAUAGGUGUGCAUGUGAAGACCAAAAACAGUGCAGGGGUUCUGCUUAUCCUCUCAACUGGAUUUUGUUAAUCUACUCAUCAAGUGCCAUUUACAUAACUACUUCAAUGUAGCUGCAAUUUAGCAAUUACUGCCCCCAUUUCCUUCAUUGCCCACAAUGUGGCAUCAGCUCUCACUCCCAGACUUUUAAUCUCACUUUCUCCCUUGAGUCCUGUUGCUUUUAUUCUUUUCAAGUCCUUCAACUGCCAGCUCUCCUUCCUUUUUAGCCUAAGUCCCUGCUCCUCUGAACUUGAAAGUUGUUUGUCCCUUGUGUGUUACACAAGACUGAAAGCAAAAAGCUUAACCUCAUUGUUUGGGCCACAUCCACAUGUUCAAGACAGUAAAUGAUGCAUACAAAUGACAGAUUUUAAGGCAGACCAUUUAACUCUAAGUGUGCUGCAAGUAAUCUCUCAGCAGAUCAUACAGUAGAUGGAUCAUGUAAUUAAACAUUUGGUUGGUUGGCUGGGACUAAAAUCAUUAAAAUAUGUGAAGUUCCAAUGCUUGAUCAAAU
Molecule: long non-coding RNA, 1956 nt
Filed under: Xyrichtys novacula (pearly razorfish)
Lineage: Eukaryota; Metazoa; Chordata; Actinopteri; Labriformes; Labridae
Source: RNAcentral